UACAGAGGGUGCAAGCGUUAAUCGGAUUUACUGGGCGUAAAGGGCGCGUAGGUGGUAGCGUAAGUGAGUUGUGAAAUCCCCGGGCUUAACCUGGGAACUGCAACUUAUACUGUGUUACUGGAGUGCAAUAGAGGGUAGUGGAAUUUCCGGUGUAGCGGUGAAAUGCGUAGAUAUCGGAAGGAACACCAGUGGCGAAGGCGGCUACCUGGAUUGACACUGACACUGAGGCGCGAGAGCGUGGGGAGCAAACAGG
Molecule: ribosomal RNA, 253 nt
Filed under: uncultured bacterium
Lineage: Bacteria
Description: partial 16S ribosomal RNA
Rfam family: Bacterial small subunit ribosomal RNA
Source: RNAcentral